GCUUGGAUAGCUCAGUUGGUAGAGCAUGUUGCUGAUAACACCAAGGUUGCAAGUUUGAUCCCUGUAUGGGACA
Podarcis lilfordi (Lilford's wall lizard) is the source of this 73-nucleotide non-coding RNA. Lineage: Eukaryota; Metazoa; Chordata; Lepidosauria; Squamata; Lacertidae. The record is from the annotation of a GenBank genome assembly.